AACCCGCCUGCACGAAGCCGGAGUUGCUAGUAAUCGCGAAUCAGAAUGUCGCGGUGAAUGCGUUCCCGGGUCUUGUACACACCGCCCGUCACACCAUGGAAGUUGGGGGUGCCCAAAGCCGGCAAGCAAAUAUGCUGUCUAAGGCAAAACCAAUGACUGGGGUGAAGUCGUAACAAGGUAAC
Molecule: ribosomal RNA, 182 nt
Filed under: uncultured bacterium
Lineage: Bacteria
Description: partial 16S ribosomal RNA
Rfam family: Bacterial small subunit ribosomal RNA
Source: RNAcentral